Molecule: long non-coding RNA, 1047 nt
Organism: Alligator mississippiensis (American alligator)
Lineage: Eukaryota; Metazoa; Chordata; Crocodylia; Alligatoridae
Exons: 2
Source: RefSeq, a predicted model, not a curated record
CUCCCGGGAGGCCCCGCCCCUUCACCGCCAGGCCCCGCCCAGCGCGCCCCCUGCCGGCGCGGAGGAGCCGCAGCGCUGCAGCACCGCGCGCACUGCGCAGGCGCGGUCCUAUGUGGCGCGGGGAGAGCCCGGCCGCCCGGCUUGCGCCCCUUUCCCUACGGGGAGAGGCGGGGUGCGGGCUCGCAGCCCCGACUCCGCUCCCGGAGACCCCGGGCGUCCGAGGCAAGCCCACCCCAGGCCCCCGCCAAGCUCGUUAUCUCGUCAUCAUCGUCACUGCGAUCAUUCAUGGCGAUCUGUCAUCGUCGUCGUCAUCGUUGGAUCUCUCCUCAUCGUCGUUAAGAUCCAUCAUCCAGGUCCGUCAUCAUCAUCAUCACUACUUAGAUCUAUCCUCAAUGUCCUCCUCCUCCUCCUCCUCCCCAUUUACAGUAUACAUCAAUAUUAAGUAGGAUUAAUCAUUAAUACAAAUGAAGAUCUAUCAUCAAUAUAAAUCAUCAUCAUCAGUAUAAGUCAACAUUAUUACACAGGAUCUAGCAUGAUCAAAACCGAUCUAUCAUCAUCAUCAAUAUAAAUCGACAAUAAGAGCUAUCAAUCAUCAUUAUUAAAUAACAUCUAUCAGCAUCAUCUUUCAGAUCCAUCAUCAUGACCAUCAUCAUUAAUAUUAACCAAGAUCUAUCGUCUUCAUCGAUAUAAAUCAUCACCAUCACCAGGAUCCAUCAUUAUCAUUAAUGAAAACCCAUCAUCAACGUUAGUAGUAACCCAGAUCCAUCAUCGUCAUCGAUAUAAAUUAUCAUCAUCAAAACUUUCUAUCAUUGUCAUUAAUGAAGACCUCGUCUUAAAAUGAAGUUUACAUCAGGAUCGUCAAUGUAAACCGUCCACACCCUUAUUAAGGACGCUCAUCAUCAUUUACAAGAGAGAUCAUCAUUAAAUGAGUGCUAUCGUCAUGAUUAUUCAUGAAGAUCUAGCAUUGAGAGAGGGUUUAUCGCUCUUAUUAAUAUCGUCAUUCUGGUUCUUACUAUUUAUACUAUAUUAAAAUGAGUAUGCAGAUGA